GUGGAUGUGCCGGAGUGGUUAUCGGGCAUGACUAGAAAUCAUGUGGGUUCUACCCGCGCAGGUUCGAAUCCUGCCAUUCACG
Molecule: transfer RNA, 82 nt
Filed under: Sphenostylis stenocarpa
Lineage: Eukaryota; Viridiplantae; Streptophyta; Magnoliopsida; Fabales; Fabaceae
Description: tRNA gene-AYBTSS11_LOCUS24123
Rfam family: tRNA
About the family: Transfer RNA (tRNA) molecules are approximately 80 nucleotides in length. Their secondary structure includes four short double-helical elements and three loops (D, anti-codon, and T loops). Further hydrogen bonds mediate the characteristic L-shaped molecular structure. tRNAs have two regions of fundamental functional importance: the anti-codon, which is responsible for specific mRNA codon recognition, and the 3' end, to which the tRNAs corresponding amino acid is attached (by aminoacyl-tRNA synthetases). tRNAs cope with the degeneracy of the genetic code in two manners: having more than one tRNA (with a specific anti-codon) for a particular amino acid; and 'wobble' base-pairing, i.e. permitting non-standard base-pairing at the 3rd anti-codon position.
Source: RNAcentral